Molecule: ribosomal RNA, 593 nt
Filed under: Paramarasmius palmivorus
Lineage: Eukaryota; Fungi; Basidiomycota; Agaricomycetes; Agaricales; Marasmiaceae
Description: LSU rRNA
Rfam family: Eukaryotic large subunit ribosomal RNA
Source: RNAcentral
UCCCCCAGUAACUGCGAGUGAAGAGGGAAAAGCUCAAAUUUAAAAUCUGAUAGUCUCUGGCUGUCCGAGUUGUAAUUUAGAGAAGUGUUACCCGUGCUGGACCGUGUAUAAGUCUCCUGGAAUGGAGCGUCAUAGAGGGUGAGAAUCCCGUCUUUGACACGGACUCCCAGUGCAUUGUGGUGCGCUCUCGAAGAGUCGAGUUGUUUGGGAAUGCAGCUCUAAAUGGGUGGUAAAUUCCAUCUAAAGCUAAAUAUUGGCGAGAGACCGAUAGCGAACAAGUACCGUGAGGGAAAGAUGAAAAGAACUUUGGAAAGAGAGUUAAACAGUACGUGAAAUUGCUGAAAGGGAAACGCUUGAAGUCAGUCGCGUUGGCUAGGGAUCAACCUUGCUUUAGUGAGGCGUACUUCCUAGUUGACGGGUCAGCAUCAGUUUCGAUCACUGGAAAAAGGCUUGGGGAAUGUGGCAUCUCCGGAUGUGUUAUAGCCCCUUGUCGUAUACAGUGGUUGGGACUGAGGAACUCAGCACGCCGCAAGGCCGGGUUUCGACCACGUUCGUGCUUAGGAUGCUGGCAUAAUGGCUUUAAGCGACCCGUC